This 162-nucleotide ribosomal RNA is filed under the name Trichococcus palustris. RNAcentral describes it as "16S rRNA. Bacterial SSU". It matches the Rfam family "Bacterial small subunit ribosomal RNA", at positions 1 to 147 of the family's 1533-position model. The record is from RNAcentral. Lineage: Bacteria; Bacillati; Bacillota; Bacilli; Lactobacillales; Carnobacteriaceae.
AUUUACAUGAGAGUUUGAUCCUGGCUCAGGACGAACGCUGGCGGCGUGCCUAAUACAUGCAAGUCGAACGGUUCUUUCUUUUGGAAGCUUGCUUCCGAUCGAGAGAAUAGUGGCGAACGGGUGAGUAACACGUGGGUAACCUGCCCAUAAGAGGGGGAUAAC